This 428-nucleotide ribosomal RNA is filed under the name uncultured bacterium. RNAcentral's name for it is "bacterial SSU rRNA". It matches the Rfam family "Bacterial small subunit ribosomal RNA", at positions 30 to 504 of the family's 1533-position model. The record is from RNAcentral.
CGAACGCUGGCGGCAGGCUUAACACAUGCAAGUCGAACGCCCUCUUCGGAGGGAGUGGCAGACGGGUGAGUAACACGUGGGAAUCUACCUAUCUCUACGGAACAACACAUAGAAAUGUGUGCUAAUACCGUAUACGCCCUUAGGGGGAAAGAUUUAUCGGAGAUAGAUGAGCCCGCGUUUGAUUAGCUAGUUGGUGAGGUAAUGGCUCACCAAGGCGACGAUCAAUAGCUGGUCUGAGAGGAUGAUCAGCCACACUGGGACUGAGACACGGCCCAGACUCCUACGGGAGGCAGCAGUGGGGAAUAUUGGACAAUGGGCGCAAGCCUGAUCCAGCCAUGCCGCGUGUGUGAUGAAGGCCCUAGGGUUGUAAAGCACUUUCAACGGUGAAGAUAAUGACGGUAACCGUAGAAGAAGCCCCGGCUAACUUC